AAAUUACUUUUCAGAAUCAGCAAAUGAAAUUGUACUUACUGUGUCCAACACAAUACAGGCAUGUGCGGGGAAACGGUUACCUCUGGCUCAUGAACCAGUGUGUAGCCUCCUUUUUGUGGUGAUGCACCUGCUCUGCACGCCAAGGCCAGAGCCGACCAUCGGUGACCAGUGCUGUGCAGCCGAGCUGGGGGGAGCGACCCCGACCAGGCUCGCCUGGCCUCUGGGGAACACUAGUGGCCACUUCUGCAAGAUCAACCUUUCCAAAUUCCACCAGCAUCUAUUCUGGAUUUCCCAAAUAAUCUCACUUAAGUGAUGUGUCAGGCCCAUUCUGCAACACCUCUUCAGGGAGGCCAUCUGCAAAGAGGCUGCUGCUGCUGUCUUUCCUGCUGAGCCCUCAAGGUAGGUAUGGGGAACUUAGGCCUGCUUAUUAAAAUACACACAGACCCAUCCUCUGUCACUCUAAAUAUCUAUAGGACAAGUGGGGCAUCUUACAGUGUUUUGACUGUGUUUGUUAGAUUGUGAAACAGUGACUUCUGAAAUACAGCUUGGGAGAGGGAAAUCGAGAAACCUUGUUCCUCCAUCCUAAGCAACUCACGGCAUCCCAGAGUCCAACAUUUGCCCUUGGCAAUGCUGAGAUUUGGGGUAAAGAAUAGGGGUCAACAGGAGUCCUCCAUAUUGCAUGAACUGGAGACAGUUGGGUCUUUCUGGUCUAACAAUCAAAACUCUGUCCCCCUAAGCAUACUUUCCUGAGAUAAGAAUCUAAGGAAAAGAUGGGAAACAUGUUGCUUGAUUUCAGGCUCUCUAGCUGACAUGACAUUUGGACAGUUAGUUUGCGGAACCAGCUAGAAAUGGGUGGGUCUGGAAAUGGAUGACCCAGUAAAGGCAGGGCUGCACUGACGUGUGGACAGGGCUUCACAGGGUGAGCACCAGUGGUAGGGGUGAAAAGAAGAGUUCCAAAAGUCCUUGUGUUAGAUUUCCAGCACUGUGACAAAACACCUAAGAUACACACCCUUUAAGGAGAAAAGUUUAUUUUGGCUGACACUUUCCUAAGUUCCAGGCUGGAUGCUUUGCGCUGGGGUGAGACUAUUCAGUGGGCAUUUGUGGCGGAGCAAAGCUGCUUGUUUGUGGAAGCCAAUCUUAAUCUAUUUGCAAACUUGAUUUCUCUGUUCACAGGUUCCAGGGAUAAGGAUAUGGACACCUGUGGAAGACAAUUAUUCUGUGUAUCACAAACAACUGUGUGGUCUUUAUAUUUCCAUUACACUACUUUUAUUUUAAAUUUAUUUAAAAUUUUAUUUGUUCAACAACUAUUUGAGCACUCAUUAUGGAAAUAUAAAUAAGACAUUGGUGCCAGGUGUGGUGGUACACACCCGUAACCCCAGCACUUGGGAGGCUGAGGCAGGAGGAUCGCUGUGAGUUCGAGACCAGCCUGGGCUACAUAGUGAGUUCCAGGUCAGUCUCAACUACAUAGUGAGACCCUGUCUCAAAAAACGAAACAAAACAAAAAACAACCCCCCCAAAAAAAAACCCCAAAAUAAAUUAUUGGUCACCACACUUAAGUGGGUAAUUUAAUAAUAACUUUUGUAUAAAAUGAUAUAGUUUGUGGCACUCAAUUUAUUGC
Long non-coding RNA from Fukomys damarensis (Damara mole-rat), 1618 nucleotides. NCBI's taxonomy places the organism in Eukaryota, Metazoa, Chordata, Mammalia, Rodentia, Bathyergidae. The record is from Ensembl.